UACGUAGGGUGCAAGCGUUAAUCGGAAUUACUGGGCGUAAAGCGUGCGCAGGCGGCUUUGCAAGACAGAUGUGGAAUCCCCGGGCUCAACCUGGGAACUGCAUUUGUGACUGCAAGGCUAGAGUACGGUAGAGGGGGAUGGAAUUCCGCGUGUAGCAGUGAAAUGCGUAGAUAUGCGGAGGAACACCGAUGGCGAAGGCAAUCCCCUGGACCUGUACUGACGCUCAUGCACGAAAGCGUGGGGAGCAAACAGG
This 253-nucleotide ribosomal RNA is filed under the name uncultured bacterium. RNAcentral's name for it is "partial 16S ribosomal RNA". It matches the Rfam family "Bacterial small subunit ribosomal RNA", at positions 524 to 776 of the family's 1533-position model. The record is from RNAcentral.